CUCUUUCAAGGUGAUGGUGAUCCACCUUUUCCAACCGCCACGUUUUUUGUGGAUGAUGACGCCUGAUAUGCU
Molecule: non-coding RNA, 72 nt
Filed under: Oxalobacter formigenes
Lineage: Bacteria; Pseudomonadati; Pseudomonadota; Betaproteobacteria; Burkholderiales; Oxalobacteraceae
Also listed under: 1 other name
Description: Fluoride sequence
Rfam family: Fluoride riboswitch aptamer (crcB RNA motif)
Source: RNAcentral